This 456-nucleotide long non-coding RNA is filed under the name Manihot esculenta (cassava). RNAcentral's name for it is "long non-coding RNA (MESC_LNC002029)". The record is from RNAcentral. Lineage: Eukaryota; Viridiplantae; Streptophyta; Magnoliopsida; Malpighiales; Euphorbiaceae.
GAUGUUUUAGAGGGAUUUUGGGGAGAUGUUUAGAGUUAUGUUAGAAUGGUUUGGUACCUCAUUUGAGUCCACCUGUGUAGGAUUGGACCCGAGGAACCGAGGAGGCCCUAGAGUUAGAGUUGGCCCAGAGUUAGCCAGCAGUGGCAGGUGAGUGGAACUAGACCCUAUGUUUUUAAGUGAAUGUUUUAGCAUGUUCCAUGCAUCAUAAUAUCAUGUUAUAGUAGGGUGUCUUGCAUUAGCAAUCACGAAGAUGAUGCAUUGCAUAUUAUGUUGAUGAUGUGGAUGGACCAAGGCAACCCCAAUAGCCCGACAAUGUAUGUUUUAGAAGUCCUGAGGAGCCCCCUGAGGGCCGGGCACAGUGCAUGUUAUAGAAGUCCUGAGGAGCUCCUUUGAGGGCCGGGCACAGAGUAGAGGGAGUUUUGGUGGUCAUGUCCAUCCGAGAUGUGAGUAGUUGUG